GUUCUGGCUCUGGUGGUAUAGACAAUACAAUAGGAAUGAUGCUGAAAUUAUCAUGGCCCACGCAAAAGGAUGACACACUAAUUUGUGAAGUGUCCUUUAUUUUA
This 104-nucleotide small nuclear RNA is filed under the name Phascolarctos cinereus (koala). The record is from RNAcentral. Lineage: Eukaryota; Metazoa; Chordata; Mammalia; Diprotodontia; Phascolarctidae.